RNAcentral lists this ribosomal RNA (107 nucleotides) under Pteropus alecto (black flying fox). The record is from RNAcentral. Lineage: Eukaryota; Metazoa; Chordata; Mammalia; Chiroptera; Pteropodidae.
AUCUAUGGCCAUACCACCCUGAAAGUGCCUGAUCAGAAGCUAAGCAGGGCCGGGCCUGGUUAGUACUUGGAUGGGAGACCACGUAAGAACACCAGGUGCUGUAGGUG